RNAcentral lists this ribosomal RNA (580 nucleotides) under uncultured rumen bacterium. RNAcentral's name for it is "bacterial SSU rRNA". It matches the Rfam family "Bacterial small subunit ribosomal RNA", at positions 173 to 776 of the family's 1533-position model. The record is from RNAcentral.
CGCUUCUUAUCGCAUGAUUCGAAGCGGAAAGAUUUAUCGGCAGGGGAUGGCUCCGCGUCGGAUUAGCCGGUUGGCGGGGUAACGGCCCACCAAAGCGAUGAUCCGUAGCCGGCCUGAGAGGGCGACCGGCCACAUUGGGACUGAGACACGGCCCAGACUCCUACGGGAGGCAGCAGUGGGGGAUAUUGCACAAUGGGGGGAACCCUGAUGCAGCGACGCCGCGUGGAGGAAGAAGUAUUUCGGUAUGUAAACUCCUAUCAGCAGGGAAGAAACUGACAGUACCUGACUAAGAAGCCCCGGCUAACUACGUGCCAGCAGCCGCGGUAAUACGUAGGGGGCAAGCGUUAUCCGGAUUCACUGGGUGUAAAGGGAGCGUAGACGGAAGUGAAAGCCAGAUGUGAAAACCCGCGGCUCAACUGCGGGCCUGCAUUUGGAACUUUAUUUCUAGAGUACCGGGUGGGCAGGCGGAAUUCCUGGUGUAGCGGUGAAAUGCGUAGAUAUCAGGAGGAACACCGGUGGCGAAGGCGGCCUGCUGGACGGAUACUGACGUUGAGGCUCGAAAGCGUGGGGAGCAAACAGG